Molecule: non-coding RNA, 379 nt
Organism: Pelobates cultripes (western spadefoot toad)
Lineage: Eukaryota; Metazoa; Chordata; Amphibia; Anura; Pelobatidae
Source: the annotation of a GenBank genome assembly
AUUGGAGUUAAAAGUGAAACACUGCAGCUUGACGAGGGUGGACAGAAAGGCUCCGAUUAUGAAGUAAAAGUAUUAAAAAACAUAGAGCGUAGAGAAAAACAUCAUUCGGCACAUCUCAGUGUAAUGUAAUCUACAAAUUGCACCAAACAGGUGUGAGUACAUGCAAUGCCCCUUUAAUAGAUGCAUCAUUCACAACAUGUUAACAGUGGAUAUGGUAUCCUGUAGCUGUCUGCAGCCUUGCUGACUUAUCAUGCCCAAUAUUUUAUUUGCUAGCAUUUGACCACAUACUAUAUUGUGCACGGAAUAUAACCAUGCCUGGUAGCGAUUUAUUUAAUAAUGUGCUUUCAGUGCUUUUUCUAAUAAGAGGAGAUGAACUCAU